UUCAGGAAUACGUAUCCUGCCAUCAAACAAACAAACACACAUUAGCUUUCCACUUAAGAGAUUGACAAUAAGUGAGCUUAGAAUGAGCUACACAAACAAAUAAAAGUAAAAAAGAAAGAGCACGAGUAAAAGCCAAUUCAAGAACUCAAAAAUGUCACCUGCGCCUGUUGGGGAUUGAUCCCGAUCCCAUCUGCAGACAUGAAUACAGAUACAUCAGCAAUCUUGAGUAUUGUUGACAAGAAUAAAUCACUGUUAGAUCUUUAGGCAAUAGAAAGCUUCAGUUUUUAAACUUUAUAGACAGAGAAGUAGAGUUACAUGCAAUGAUAUAUAUAUAUAUAUGAUCCCAUAUCUAAGAGAAUUCUCCUGAUUACACAAAACAUAUGAACAUGAAACAGACAAAACUUGAAAAGGGAAAUGGUGUUCAUGAGCUUCUCGAAUGUCCGGUUUGCACAAAUCUCAUGUAUCCUCCAAUUAAUCAGGUGUGUGUGCGACUGUUCUACUCUUUCUCCGACACUCAACUUACUUUUGUGUAGUUAACGUUGACAUCUAGGUUUGUUAAUUUUCCCAUAAUGUCCCAAUGGCCACACGUUAUGUUCAAGCUGCAAACAACAAGUGCAGAACACGUGCGCCCUACAUGCCGUUACGAGCUCGGCAACAUAAGAUGCUUGGCUCUCGAGAAGGUUGCGGAAUCGUUGGAGGUUUCAUGCCGGUACGAGCAGCACUGCAGGUUGAGUGUUCAGUGACCGGAGACAUUCCAUCCCUUGUUGAGCAUCUCAAAGACGAUCAUAAAGUCGAUAUGCAUAGUGGUUGCACUUUCAACCACCGUUAAUGUCAAGUCUAAUCCUCAAGAAGUUGAGAAUGCUACAUGGUUUUCUUUUUUUUUUAAUUAAAAACUAGAUAUGAGUUGGUAACUUAUUAAUGGUUUGUGAACCAACAUAUUCAUCCCAAAGAUAAACCCAAGAAAAAUUCAAAGAUUAAUAAGUAUUAAAAAAAGUUUGGGACUCACCUACAGAAAGAGAAAAAAAAAAAAAUAGAAAAAGAAAAUGGUAAAUUGUGGAAGAGAAUUUAAAAGAGGGAAACUGAGAAUAAUUUGUUUUGAUUGGGGCAAAAUAGAUUAUUCUCCCGAAAUCCUGCGCAAAGAACAAACGUUUAGUUAUUUCCUUUUUUUUUUUAUCAACAAAAUAGUAAAAUUGAGUUAUUUCCUUAUAUUUGUUGAGUGUCGGUUAAUGAGGCGGGUUAUAAAUAGAGGUGGUGCAACGAGGUGAUUAAAGCUAUUACUUGUUUCUUUCUUUUUUUCUUCCCGAAAAAGCAACGAACAAAACGUGAGAGAGAGAGAGAGAGAGAGCAAUGAACACUUGUCGAAUAGUUCUCCAACGCAGGUUCCUUCCCGUGAGCAACUCCAAGAAGGAAAAAUUUGACAGAUUCAUACCGAACAGAGCAGCCAUGGAUUUCGACUAUGCUCACUUGGCUCUUAUGGAAGAAAGAGAAGAAGAAGAAGAGGUCAGUUCAUCCAGAAAAGCUUAUAGAAAGCAAUUGGCUGAGACUAUGGGUCUUAACCGAACUCGAAUCCUCGCAUUCACCAACAAACCACCUUCUUCUACUUCUCUUCACCAUCAGCAUCAGCAUCAGCAUGAGCCUCCUCGACGCAUUCCUCAGCGUCCCGAGAGAACUUUGGAUGCUCCUGGCCUUGUGGAUGACUUCUAUCUCAACGUUCUCGACUGGAGCAGUGCUAAUGUCCUAGCCGUUGCCUUGGCCAACUCUGUUUGUCUCUGGGAUGCUUCCACUGGCUCCGUGACUACGCUUGUCACGUAUGGUGAAGACCAAGGACCUGUCACAAGUCUAAACUGGGCGCAUGAUGGUAUCAACCUUGGAGUUGGGCUCAACAAUGGUCAAGUUCACAUUUGGGACUGUGUAACCAAGACUCUACUGAGAACAUUGCAAGGCUUCCACCACACACGAGUUGGGUCCUUGGCCUGGAACACUCAUAUAUUGACAACCGGAGGAAUGGACGGACGUAUCUUCAACAACGAUGUGCGGUUCAUGUCAUACCCUGUGUCUACUUACAAGGGUCACACUCAAGAGGUCUGUGGGCUCAAGUGGUCAGCAUCUGGUCAGCAACUAGCUAGCGGCGGAAACGACCGUCUAGUACAUAUAUGGGAUCGUUCUACUAGUACGCAGUGGCUGCACAGGCUCAGGGGGCAUACAUCUGCAGUUAAGGCUCUCGCUUGGUGUCCUUUCCAAAGCGAUUUGCUUGCAUCUGGCGGUGGUGCAGAAGAUAGGAAGAUCAAGUUCUGGAACACUCGCACAGGGGCUUGCUUGAAUUCGCUUGACACUGCUUCCCAAGUCUCUUCUCUCUUGUGGAGCAACAAUCAAAGAGAGCUGCUUUGCUCACAUGGGUCUCAGCUCACACUGUGGAAGUACCCGUCGAUGGUGAAAAUGGCUGAGCUCUCUGGUCAUACGUCAAGAGUUCUAUCUAUGACCCAGAGUCCAGAUGGUUGUACUGUAGUUUCAGCUGCAGGAGACGAGAAUCUGUGCUUUUGGAAUGUUUUUGGACUACCUCACACCACCGCCAAAAAAACUGUUCCAAAAGCAGCUCAUGAGCCGUUUUCUCAUGUCGCUCGUAUUCGUUGAAAACUCAACUACCAGAGGUUGACAAUGAAAAGAUAGAGUGCGAGGCUUCUGCAUAUCAGAAGAAACUUUUAAUGAAGAGGGUUGAGGAUUCGCUUGGAAACAUGAAGGUGCUGUUUUGUGCUCUGCGUAUUGUGUAUUCAGUUGUUUCUUAGUUAGUUUUCUUUUUACAGUCGCGUGCAGUGCACAACUCAGUGAUGGAGCUUCGGAAUAUAUAUCACAAUCAUCCAUAUCUCAGCCAACUUCAUACAGACGAGGGGUCAAGGUCAAAAAUUUCUGCACCUAUCCCCGCUCGUCUGGUUUGUUGAGUCUUUUUUUGAACAGUCAAUUGCACCUUUGCUUAUUACUUAAAACUGGCAAAAUUGCAACUGACAGAGGAUGAGUUUGAAAAGAUUUGUCAGACCGAUUCUCCCAAAGGCAAGGAAGAAGGACUGAGCCAAAUGCUGCAUCAAAUAUUCUGCGUGCUGAAAAGAGUUUGGCAACUGGUAAAAUUAGAUAACCUGCCUGGAAGCACUAGACAAUCCGUGGAACCUCUACGGAAAUCACAGCAGCCACUACAGAACCUGUAAAACGGGGACGUGGCAGGCCACAAGCAACAGGGGAUGCGAUGCUAGAUCAUCAUCAGUUAUUGGUUCCGAUGUUGUCUUACUUCCCCAGAUUUAUCUGUUCCAAUUGAGGUUAAGGUUGGUGAAUCGUCAGGAUCCAAAAUUACAUCGGUUUGGAAAUAAAAUGCGUCAUAGUCAAUACAGAAGAGAAGAGUAGAUGAUGAUGAUCCAUGAGGCCAAAGCAAAAUGGGGAAUAAGAAGAGAAUAAAGAUAUAAUAAGCUCUCUAAUGAUGGUUUUGAUUGGAACUGAAACGGAUCAUGUACAUAGCAGCAGUCUUGAGAGCUAUGAGAUUAGGUUGAAACAUUAUGUUUUGAAAUAUUACGAACUCUUUGUCUUGUAAUUUUUCCUGAUUUGUUUCAAAAAUAAAGACAGUUUUCCU
Molecule: RNA transcript, 3613 nt
Organism: Brassica napus (rape)
Lineage: Eukaryota; Viridiplantae; Streptophyta; Magnoliopsida; Brassicales; Brassicaceae
Gene name: cell division cycle 20.2, cofactor of APC complex-like
Exons: 4
Source: RefSeq, a predicted model, not a curated record